Long non-coding RNA from Nomascus leucogenys (northern white-cheeked gibbon), 439 nucleotides. RefSeq lists it as uncharacterized. The record is from RefSeq and is a predicted model, not a curated record. NCBI's taxonomy places the organism in Eukaryota, Metazoa, Chordata, Mammalia, Primates, Hylobatidae. The transcript has 2 exons.
GAUUUCUCUUGCUUCAGGUCCUCAUUGCUUUGGCUAUGGCCAGAGGCAGCAGAGAAAGGAAUGAACGAAGAACAGAAAGGACUGCUUUGGUGAUCCACCCUCUACCCUUGCCCCACAACCACAGAACUGUGGCACUGGAAGGAACCCCAGGAAUCAAAAGUCACAGGAAGAGGAAGACAGAGCUCUUACGAGGGGGAGGCAGAGAAGGCACAGCAAAGGACAUGCCCUCAGAAUGCCACCAAUUUCCCAGUACAGGCCCACCCAUGGGACCAGGUUAUCAGGGACCCUGUGGGGAUGGGGUGGAAUCUGGGGAGGGGGGUGAGCCUUCUUUCCCAGGCUGGGAGUAGGUGAGACGAGACUGAGGCCUCUACAUUUGAGUGCCCCCCAAACCCAGCAGUCAUGAUGUGAGCAAACAAAAAAAUCACGUUACUUCUUCCAA